GUUUUCUUGAAGCUGAGUAAGGAUUGGAUGAGUGAACAAAGAAUGAGCCAAGAUUGCAAAAGAUAAAGGAAAUAGUAAAGUAAGGGUAAUAAGGUAGAAUGUUUUUGGAGAUCUCUUAGGUAUGGAGAUUGAUUCUUGAAAAAUAUCAGGAAUAGUCAAGAAUUGAAGCUCUUCUGCUGGUAGAUCCAUUCUUGAUUCAGCUCAAACAACUCUUGUUCCUUUGUCUGAUCUCACACAACUUCUUUUGGGGGGUUUGAGGAAUGGACAAUUUCAAGAUUUGUGCUGCAAUGGCACCGCCACGAUUUUUUCUGGAGAAAAGUCUACGCGUUAAAGCAUUAGGUACAAAGAUUUAUGCUAUCACUUUUUU
RNAcentral lists this unclassified non-coding RNA (367 nucleotides) under Hevea brasiliensis (rubber tree). Lineage: Eukaryota; Viridiplantae; Streptophyta; Magnoliopsida; Malpighiales; Euphorbiaceae. The record is from RNAcentral.